CAGCCGCCGCGGGAAUACAGAGGGUGCGAGCGUUAAUCGGAUUUACUGGGCGUAAAGCGUGCGUAGGCGGCUUCUUAAGUCGGAUGUGAAAUCCCUGAGCUUAACUUAGGAAUUGCAUUCGAUACUGGGAAGCUAGAGUAUGGGAGAGGAUGGUAGAAUUCCAGGUGUAGCGGUGAAAUGCGUAGAGAUCUGGAGGAAUACCGAUGGCGAAGGCAGCCAUCUGGCCUAAUACUGACGCUGAGGUACGAAAGCAUGGGGAGCAAACAGGAUUAGAUACCCUGGUAGUCCCUGUCUCUUAUAC
RNAcentral lists this ribosomal RNA (301 nucleotides) under uncultured bacterium. RNAcentral describes it as "partial 16S ribosomal RNA". It matches the Rfam family "Bacterial small subunit ribosomal RNA", at positions 509 to 807 of the family's 1533-position model. The record is from RNAcentral.